AUGGCAGCCGCCAGCGACAAACGCCGGAAGGAUGUAGCCGAACUCGAGCACGGACUCGAGCACAACGGCGGCAUACGCCUCCUCCCAACAUCAACCGCACGCUCAUACGCGCGCCCACGGUCCCGGCGCGCCCGACGCGUCCAGUGCGCACCCAUAACACGCACCGGUCGCGCCCGGCUCGCCGCCACGGCUUAUUGCCCUGCACCGCUGCGGCCUCAACCGCAGCGCAGCAUCUCCAUGCCGCCAUGCCGCUGUUUGUCGUUGAAGCCGCCACCACGCAGGUCCUCCGCGGCCUCCUCACCGUGCCGUCGCAGCCACCGCGGCCUCCUCGCCGCGCCGCGCACCUCCAUAGACCGACACACGGCCCGAAGCUUUACCGCGCAGCCGCCGGCGAACGCCGCCACCGCCGGCACGCCUCCGGCAAGGGGACGACGCCCAAGAUGA
RNAcentral lists this ribosomal RNA (444 nucleotides) under Triticum aestivum (bread wheat). RNAcentral describes it as "partial small subunit ribosomal RNA". The record is from RNAcentral. Lineage: Eukaryota; Viridiplantae; Streptophyta; Magnoliopsida; Poales; Poaceae.